Molecule: long non-coding RNA, 1199 nt
Organism: Oncorhynchus tshawytscha (Chinook salmon)
Lineage: Eukaryota; Metazoa; Chordata; Actinopteri; Salmoniformes; Salmonidae
Source: Ensembl
CCUUAACCCAAUUGAGAUAGUUUGAGAUGAGUUGGACCGCAGAUUGAAGGAAAAGCAGGCAACAAGUGCUCAGUAUAUGUGGGAACUCCUUCAAGACUAUUGGAAAAGCAUUCCAGGAUAUUGUUGAAGAUGACUUCAACUGUCUCACCUGUGACCAACUUUACUACAGUAUUCUCCAAUACCACAAUCACCACCAAGUCCAAAGAACAAAUACUCACUCAGAGUUCAGGGGCUAUGAUUGCUGUCAUUGUCAUCGGGAUCAUUAUCCUUCUAACCAUACUACUUGUCACCCUGAGGACAUACAACAGGCGGACACAUGCGUCCAGAGUGCUGGGAACAGGCUCCAAAGGGCCACCUCGACAGAAGAUGUCCUCUUCUACAGUGCAGACGAGCAUGCCCUUGGGGAGCUUUGCGCUGUCAAGUAAUAUGUCCGAAAAUGGAUUCCGGCUGCCCCGAGUGGAACUAAACAGCCUGGACCAAAACAACUUGGAGCAACAAAGCAGAAUCAGCGAUUCGACAGUAGUCACCAUACAUGAUACUCCAUCACUAGGGAAUACAUAGCAGGCCGCUAACGUAUUGGACAGGUGACAAAGUCAGCAUAUAAUGCUUGAAAAGAAACUCUUUAUUAUGAACAAAGUGGUGCUAUAAGAACGCAAUGAAUAUGCAUGGACACUCCUGUGGACAUAAACAAUUGCUUUCUUGACUACAGUGUUCAGAACAUGGACAAAAUUAUCCUGCUGUCUGUGCAUUUGCAGCUGUGCUACCAACAACCGUGAGGAUAAGCGUUGGAGGAGAGAUGUGUACAAGAUUUACGGCAUGAACAUGGUAUCAUGUCUAGUUUUUCUGUGUGCGUACAUUUCUGUGAGGGACUUGUUCACAGGGUUUUACAUUUAUUCACAUUAUUCUGAUGUAAGAUUAUUAUUCUUUCUUUUUUAUCUGAAUAAUGUUGUUGUGGUUUUCAGGAAAAAUCAUGAGAAUGUUUCUGUGAAAAGUCGAUACUGGUUUGAAUCCCUGUGGAGAUCUAGAUAGCAUACAAUUAUGAAAUAAUAAGUCCCAAUUAGUUUGAUUCCAAAGGAUUUUGCACUUUUCACUCACCCUAUCCUGUGAUUAUUUUUGCUUGUGGUUAUUUCAUUGAAAUAAAUAUUGAAAAUAAAUAUUGAUAUUUCUAAAAAGUGUGUGCAUGUUUCUGCUUGAAUAUG